RNAcentral lists this ribosomal RNA (219 nucleotides) under uncultured bacterium. RNAcentral's name for it is "partial 16S ribosomal RNA". It matches the Rfam family "Bacterial small subunit ribosomal RNA", at positions 524 to 742 of the family's 1533-position model. The record is from RNAcentral.
UACAGAGGUCUCAAGCGUUGUUCGGAUUCAUUGGGCGUAAAGGGUGCGUAGGUGGCGGGGCAAGUUGGAUGUGAAAUCCCGGAGCUUAACUCCGGAACUGCAUUCAAUACUGCCUUGCUAGAGUACUGGAGAGGAGAUUGGAAUUUACGGUGUAGCAGUGAAAUGCGUAGAUAUCGUAAGGAAGACCAGUGGCGAAGGCGGAUCUCUGGACAGUUACUG